GAUGAACGCUGGCGGCGUGCCUAAUACAUGCAAGUCGAGCGAACAGAUGAGGAGCUUGCUCCUCUGACGUUAGCGGCGGACGGGUGAGUAACACGUGGAUAACCUACCUAUAAGACUGGGAUAACUUCGGGAAACCGGAGCUAAUACCGGAUAAUAUAUUGAACCGCAUGGUUCAAUAGUGAAAGACGGUUUUGCUGUCACUUAUAGAUGGAUCCGCGCCGCAUUAGCUAGUUGGUAAGGUAACGGCUUACCAAGGCAACGAUGCGUAGCCGACCUGAGAGGGGGAUCGGCCACCCGGGAACGGAGAACCGGCCCAGCCCCCUAGGGGGGGCAGCAGUGGGGAAUUUUCCGAAAUGGGCGAAAGCCUGACGGAGCAACGCCGCGUGAGUGAUGAAGGCUUUCGGAUCGUAAACCCCUUUUAUUGGGGAAAAAAAAAUGUGUAAGUAACUAUGCACGUUUUGACGGUACCAAAUAAGAAAGCCACGGCUAACUACGU
Molecule: ribosomal RNA, 496 nt
Filed under: uncultured bacterium
Lineage: Bacteria
Description: partial 16S ribosomal RNA
Rfam family: Bacterial small subunit ribosomal RNA
Source: RNAcentral